CUAGCGACUUCAGAGUUUGAUCCUGGCUCAGGAUGAACGCUGGCGGCAUGCCUAAGACAUGCAAGUCGAACGAAGUGGCCCAACAAUGAUUGCGUACUUGUACAAUAUCUGCGAUGGAUUUUCCACUUAGUGGCAGACGGGUGAGUAACACGUAAGUAAUCUACCUUUAAGACUGGGAUAACGUUUGGAAACGAACGCUAAUACCGGAUAAUUCAUAUAUAGACAACUAUUUAUGCUAAAAGGGGCUUCGGCCUUACUUAAAGAUGAGCUUGCGGCGUAUUAACUAGUUGGUGGGGUAAUGGCCUACCAAGGUGACGAUGCGUAGCCGAGCUGAGAGGCUAAUCGGCCACAUUGGGACUGAGACACGGCCCAA
Molecule: ribosomal RNA, 373 nt
Filed under: uncultured bacterium
Lineage: Bacteria
Description: bacterial SSU rRNA
Rfam family: Bacterial small subunit ribosomal RNA
Source: RNAcentral